Molecule: long non-coding RNA, 603 nt
Organism: Myxocyprinus asiaticus (Chinese sucker)
Lineage: Eukaryota; Metazoa; Chordata; Actinopteri; Cypriniformes; Catostomidae
Exons: 6
Source: RefSeq, a predicted model, not a curated record
AGAAAGGCUGAUGUACAUAACAUUGAACUGACUGUUGUAACUCAAGCUGAACAUGUGACUCAGUUGAUCCAAAAAAGGCACUGCUACACAAACAUCUAAUGUAUGCUGAAUAAUCACGUUUAUCCGAAAAAUGGCAGCAUGAAAGGAUCAUCGCCUGAGUCCUGUUAUACACGAGCAUCCUGCUGGACCUCCCCUGUAUCUGCAAAGUACCAGCCUCCACUGGUUUUACCUACACUGAAGGUCAUUUGAUCUCCAAAAGCCAGAUGCCUCUGCUCUCCACGCUUAUACCAGGUCGACCUGAUCUGUCUUUAUCCAGCAACCAAAAGUAAUGUCUGCAGUCUUCAGUCUGUCUUCAAAAUCAGACACUUUGAAUGUACAAGAAGUACCAGCCUCCACUGGUUUUACCUACACUGAAGGUCAUUUGAUCUCCAAAAGCCAGAUGCCUCUGCUCUCCACGCUUAUACCAGGUCGAAAUGAUCUGUCUCCUUUAUCCAGCAACCAAAAGUAAUGUCUGCAGUCUUCAGUCUGUCUUCAAAAUCAGACACGUUGAAUGUACAAGGUAUCUCCACACAAGAACCGCUCAAUGCUGUUAUACUUCUUGGC